Long non-coding RNA from Penaeus monodon (black tiger shrimp), 520 nucleotides. RefSeq lists it as uncharacterized. The record is from RefSeq and is a predicted model, not a curated record. The transcript is spliced from 2 exons. Lineage: Eukaryota; Metazoa; Arthropoda; Malacostraca; Decapoda; Penaeidae.
GCUUGGAGGUGUUCUUGAAUGUAUGGUUAUUUUUUUUUUCUGAUACGGUGGUCUUAUUGGAGACAUGAUUAUUUGCUGCUUAUUAAAUCCGAAUUGAUUAUCGCGCGUACAUAUUAAAUAUUUUAUCUCUUUCGGUUUAGUGUGUUUCUAGUGGAAAGUGCAAAAGAAUAUUCAGAAUGUAUGAAUACAUAUACAAUGGAGAGGCUUUGUUAUGAAAAUAAAGAAAGAAAUUAAACAUUUAUGAUGUAACUUGUGUGAAUUAUAUAGAUCACAUGUGCCUACGUAAUUUAUGAGCCUUUCCUUUAAUUCCAUAUUUUUCAAAUUAUUAGUUUUAUUAUAAACUAAAGUGUUAUAAUAAAUUAAAGAUAAUUGAAAUAGUAAUAAGUCCGUUGUGCAUGCACCUCAUGUAAACAAAAGGCUGAAGAGCAGCUUUUGAGGAGCUCGACACUACGCACAGAUGGCAGCCCCAGUUAGCCAGAAGGAAUACCUUAAACGUUACCUUAGUGGUGGUGAUGAUGAC